CGGACGGGUGAGUAACGCGUGGGUAACCUGCCCUGUACAGGGGGAUAACAGCUGGAAACGGCUGCUAAUACCGCAUAAGCGCACGAGGAGACAUCUCCUUGUGUGAAAAACUCCGGUGGUACAGGAUGGGCCCGCGUCUGAUUAGCUGGUUGGCAGGGUAACGGCCUACCAAGGCAACGAUCGGUAGCCGGACUGAGAGGUUGAACGGCCACAUUGGGACUGAGACACGGCCCAGACUCCUACGGGAGGCAGCAUG
Molecule: ribosomal RNA, 256 nt
Filed under: uncultured bacterium
Lineage: Bacteria
Description: partial 16S ribosomal RNA
Rfam family: Bacterial small subunit ribosomal RNA
Source: RNAcentral